CAAAGAUCCUAUUUUUUUGUCAGGUUGAAUCUAGAUGCCUAUGGAAAGAGGUUAAGAACAUGGAAUACAUAUGGUCUAUAAUAAGUGGAAACAUAAAAGGACUCGGAGAUCUGGAUUUCUCUUGCAAGCUCUGAGGCACGUCCACUUGUGUUGCUACCUAUUUUCACUGCGGGACCACCACACUCUUCCUCGCCUCAGAGCUUGAUCCCUUCCCCAGUGAUUCAGUGAUUCAGAGUCCAAAGAAGACCAAACAGGUUUUGAUUACUGGAUUACAUCUGGGCUCAAUUACAAUCCAUAGGAGUUUUGCCACUGAUUCCCUGGAAUUAACUGAGCUAUCUACUCAAUGGCUUAGUGGGAUUUUCUACACGGGAGUGCACUGUGGAGGCAUUGCACAGCGUGGGACAUCUACCAAGACAAUUGAGAAAUUCAGGUGUAUCUUGCUUCUAUAAGGGGAGAGAGAGGAAGGGCAGCCUUUGCCUGUGG
RNAcentral lists this long non-coding RNA (483 nucleotides) under Parus major (Great Tit). RNAcentral's name for it is "lncRNA (ENSPMJG00000016168.1)". Lineage: Eukaryota; Metazoa; Chordata; Aves; Passeriformes; Paridae. The record is from RNAcentral.